CUUUUCUCCCCUCCUCCCACAUUUUAGGUUUUUGAUAUCAUAUCUAACCUCUUGUGUGUGUGUGUAUCCAUUACCCUUUUAUCAUGAAAAUAGCCAAUUUUAGCACUUAUAUCUUUUGAUCUUCAUAUUAUCUUCAUAGGUGGUUGAUCUGCUACCUUUGCUAUAUUUUUGCCCUUACAAGUGAUUUUAUUGCUUUCUUUUUUUUUUUGGAUAAUAUUCUUAUUCCUGUUUGUGAUCUUCUCUUUCUCACUUCGAUAAGUCCCUUUCACAUUUCUUGUAAGACCAGUUUCUUGAUGAUAAACUCCUUUAGCUUUUGCUUCUUUGGGAAUCUCUUUCUCUCUUUCUCCAUUCUGAAUGAUAACCUUGCUGUGUAUAGUAUUCUUGGUUGUAAGUUUUUUCAUUUCAGCACUUUAAAUAUAUCAUGCCAUUCCCUUCUAGCCUGCAAGGUUUCUGCUAAGAAGUCAGCUGAUAGCCUUAUGGGGUUUCCUUUGUAUGUCAUUUGUUACGUUUCUCUUGCAGCUUUUAGGGUUCUCUCUUUAUCUUUAAUUCUUGAUGUUGUAAUUAUAACGUGUCUUGCUGUAGGCCUCUUUGAAUUUAUCUGUUUGGUGCUCUCUGUGCUUCCUGUAUAUGGAUGUCUGUUUCCUUCCUUAGGUUAGGAAAGUUUUCAGUGAUUAUUUCUUCAAAUAGAUUCUGUGCCCCUUUAUCUCUCUCUUCUCCUUCUAGGACACCUAUAAUAUGAAUAUCAUUUUACUUGAUGUUUUCCCAGAGGUCCCUUGACUGUCCUUGCUUUUUAAUUCUUUUUUCUUUUAUCUGUUCAGCUUGGGUGAUUUCCCCUAGUCUUUCAUGCAGCUCACUGCUCCAUUCUUUAUUAUCAUCUAUUCUGCUACUGAGUCCCUCUAUUGCAUUUUUUCAUUUCCAGUGUUGUAUUUGUCAUUUCUGUUUGUUUCUUUUUUUAAUUUUCCAAUUCUUUAUUGAAGUUCUCACUGAGUUCAUUCAUUCUUCUCCCAAGAUCAGUCAGCAUCAUUGUGACUUUUUGUUUGAAGUUUUUGUCAGGUAGAUUGUUUAGUUUUGUUUCAUUUAGCUCUUUUUUCUGAGGUUUUGUCCUGUUUCCUUAUUUGGAACAUAUUCCUUUUCCUCCUCAUUUUGCCUCUUUCUUUUUUUUUUGCUUAUAUCUAUGUAUUAGGCAGGUCAGCUAUGUCUCCUGAUCUCAGAGAGAUGGCC
Molecule: long non-coding RNA, 1221 nt
Filed under: Equus caballus (horse)
Lineage: Eukaryota; Metazoa; Chordata; Mammalia; Perissodactyla; Equidae
Description: lncRNA (ENSECAG00000058367.1)
Source: RNAcentral